GCAGAACGACCCGCGAACCAGUUCUUUCGAUGCACGCCGGGGCGGCGGGGAGCUCCCGCCCCUCGCCCCUCGGCCGGCCGUGGGGAGCGGGCCCGCGCGGUCCCUCCCCUGGGCCAACGAACAAAACCCCGGCGCCGGACGCGCCAAGGACCUACGGAAACAGGAGAGCACGCCCCAUCGGCCCGGGAACGGGACGCGGGGCGCGGCUCCUCUCGCUGCGAGCGAGAAAGAAUGAAA
RNAcentral lists this ribosomal RNA (237 nucleotides) under Casearia aculeata. The record is from RNAcentral. Lineage: Eukaryota; Viridiplantae; Streptophyta; Magnoliopsida; Malpighiales; Salicaceae.